UUCUUCUUUUUUUUUUUUUAUGGCGUCUCGCCCAGCCUGGAGUGCAGAGGCAGUCUUGGCUCACUGCAACCUCCACCUCCGGGGUUCAACUGAUUUUCCCGCCUCAGCCUGCUGAGUAGCUGGGAUUACAGGCACCCUCAUCAAGUCCGGCUAAUUUUUGUAUUUUUAGUAGAGACAGGGUUUCACCAUGUUGGCUAGGCUGGUCUUGACCUCCUGACCUCGGGUGAUCCUCCUGCCUCGGCCUCCCAAAAUGCUGGGAUUACAGGCGUGAGCCACCACGCACGGCUUCUGUUGUUCGUUGAAAUCAUCAUUUUUCUAAUGUCCUCAUUCUCUGCUGGCUAGUUUAAGGGCUGAUUCAAAAAAUAAAUUUUCACACUGUGAAAUACGCAAGAUGAAGAGAACAUUUAUAAAAUAUCCAUACUGUGCAUCUCUGAAUAAUCUUUUCUUCACAUCAGCGGCAGUACAAAUUAGGUGGAGUUUUAAAAGAUACUUCAGCAACUUACAGAUUACAGCAUGUUAUGUAUCUUCAAGAUAUUUUGCUUCAUUGGUGUGCUUGAACAUUUCUGGAUUCCUAGACUCCCAGAAAGCAGUGAGAGGAUAUUACGUUGCAGAAUUUGGUCAGAAUAUGAAGUUUGGAAGACCCUAUAUUCCUGCAGAUCCUUGGAUUGAGGUUAAUUCGAGAGCAAGCCGUGAGUGAGGUAGCCUUUAUUACUCAUCAUGUGUUUAAGAAUGAUGCAAUGAGGCUUUGUUCUCUGCCUAUCUGAAUCACGUGGCCCAAGCAAGAGAUAUCUAUUGAAAUAGCAGAUAGUAGUGUCAUUCCAUUAUAAUUACCAUUAUUUGAGCUUCAGAGAAGUGGCAUUGAAUAACUCAAUUGGAGAAUAUGCAAGUAAAAUUAACAAAACCGUACACUAUUAAAAAAUGACUUGGUAGAUUUCUUCCAGAAAACUUAGAAAACAGAAUCUCAUAGCUCUCUGCAUACUUUAUGUCAGGCCUCUGAGCUCAAGCCUGCACGUAUACAUCCAGAUGGCCUGAAGUAACUGAAGAAUCACAAAAGAAGUGAAAAUGGUCAGUUCCUGCCUUAACUGAUGACAUUACCUUGUGAAAUUCCUUCUCCUGGCUCAUCCUGGCUCAAAAGCUCCCCCACUGAGCACCCUGUGACCCCCAUCCCUGUCCACCAGAGAACAACUCCCUUUGACUGUAAUUUUCCACUACCCACCCAAAUCCUAUAAAAUGGCCCCACCCCUAUCUCCCUUCGCAGACUCUCUUUUUGGACUCAGCCCACUGCACCCAGGUGAAAUAAACAGCCUUGUUGCUCACACAAA
Molecule: long non-coding RNA, 1322 nt
Organism: Homo sapiens (human)
Lineage: Eukaryota; Metazoa; Chordata; Mammalia; Primates; Hominidae
Source: Ensembl